RNAcentral lists this ribosomal RNA (429 nucleotides) under Actinomycetes bacterium. RNAcentral's name for it is "Actinobacteria bacterium partial 16S ribosomal RNA". It matches the Rfam family "Bacterial small subunit ribosomal RNA", at positions 355 to 776 of the family's 1533-position model. The record is from RNAcentral. Lineage: Bacteria; Bacillati; Actinomycetota; Actinomycetes.
UAGGGAAUCUUCCGCAAUGGGCGAAAGCUUGACGGAGCAACGCCGCGUGAGUGAUGAAGGUCUUCGGAUCGUAAAACUCUGUUAUUAGGGAAGAACAAAUGUGUAAGUAACUAUGCACGUCUUGACGGUACCUAAUCAGAAAGCCACGGCUAACUACGUGCCAGCAGCCGCGGUAAUACGUAGGUGGCAAGCGUUAUCCGGAAUUAUUGGGCGUAAAGCGCGCGUAGGCGGUUUUUUAAGUCUGAUGUGAAAGCCCACGGCUCAACCGUGGAGGGUCAUUGGAAACUGGAAAACUUGAGUGCAGAAGAGGAAAGUGGAAUUCCAUGUGUAGCGGUGAAAUGCGCAGAGAUAUGGAGGAACACCAGUGGCAAAGGCGACUUUCUGGUCUGUAACUGACGCUGAUGUGCGAAGGCGUGGGGAUCAAACAGG